GCUGGCGGCGUGCCUAAUACAUGCAAGUUGAGCGCUGAAGGUUGGUACUUGUACCGACUGGAUGAGCAGCGAACGGGUGAGUAACGCGUGGGGAAUCUGCCUUUGAGCGGGGGACAACAUUUGGAAACGAAUGCUAAUACCGCAUAAAAACUUUAAACACAAGUUUUAAGUUUGAAAGAUGCAAUUGCAUCACUCAAAGAUGAUCCCGCGUUGUAUUAGCUAGUUGGUGAGGUAAAGGCUCACCAAGGCGAUGAUACAUAGCCGACCUGAGAGGGUGAUCGGCCACAUUGGGACUGAGACACGGCCCAAACUCCUACGGGAGGCAGCAGUAGGGAAUCUUCGGCAAUGGACGAAAGUCUGACCGAGCAACGCCGCGUGAGUGAAGAAGGUUUUCGGAUCGUAAAACUCUGUUGGUAGAGAAGAACGUUGGUGAGAGUGGAAAGCUCAUCAAGUGACGGUAACUACCCAGAAAGGGACGGCUAACUACGUGCCAGCAGCCGCGGUAAUACGUAGGUCCCGAGCGUUGUCCGGAUUUAUUGGGCGUAAAGCGAGCGCAGGUGGUUUAUUAAGUCUGGUGUAAAAGGCAGUUGCUCAACCAUUGUAUGCAUUGGAAACUGGUAGACUUGAGUGCAGGAGAGGAGAGUGGAAUUCCAUGUGUAGCGGUGAAAUGCGUAGAUAUAUGGAGGAACACCGGUGGCGAAAGCGGCUCUCUGGCCUGUAACUGACACUGAGGCUCGAAAGCGUGGGGAGCAAACAGGAUUAGAUACCCUGGUAGUCCACGCCGUAAACGAUGAGUGCUAGAUGUAGGGAGCUAUAAGUUCUCUGUAUCGCAGCUAACGCAAUAAGCACUCCGCCUGGGGAGUACGACCGCA
Molecule: ribosomal RNA, 872 nt
Filed under: uncultured Lactococcus sp.
Lineage: Bacteria; Bacillati; Bacillota; Bacilli; Lactobacillales; Streptococcaceae
Description: bacterial SSU rRNA
Rfam family: Bacterial small subunit ribosomal RNA
Source: RNAcentral